Molecule: ribosomal RNA, 468 nt
Filed under: uncultured bacterium
Lineage: Bacteria
Description: partial 16S ribosomal RNA
Rfam family: Bacterial small subunit ribosomal RNA
Source: RNAcentral
GAUGAACGCUGGCGGCGUGCCUAACACAUGCAAGUCGAACGAAAAGGCCCGGCUUUUGCGGGUUUCUCGAUUGCGGAAGGGGUGUGAAAAACGCGUGUAACCCCCCCUUGUCUUUGGGGUAUCUCCUGGAAAAAGGGGCUAUAACCGGGGAGAAUCUCUUGCGCCAUGUGGGGGGUUGGAAAGUUUCGGCGGUGGGGGAUGGACUCGCGGCUUACGAGCUGGUUGGUGGGGUAGGGGCUUUCCAAGGCUUUGACGGGUAGCCGGCCUGAGAGGGGGACCGGCCUCAUUGGGACUGAGAUACGGCCCAGACUCCUACGGGAGGCAGCGGUGGGGAAUAUUGCACAAUGGGCGGAAGCCUGAUGCAGCAGCGCCGCGUGCGGGAUGACGGCCUUCGGGUUGUAAACCGCUUUCGCCUGUGACGAAGCGUGAGUGACGGUAAUGGGUAAAGAAGCACCGGCUAACUACGUG